AUCCAUUUAGAAUUGAAGCUUUGUAGCAUUUUUGAACUGCAAUAAUUCCCUCAUUCUGUAGUCCUAUGUCUAUACCCAAAAGUUGGGUGCUGUGUAAACCUUCUCCAGUUGUUCUCUGUGUUUCUGGAGCAUUCCAAUUCUAGUGAAGUUUUCACAGCUCCAUUCCUCUGCUCAAAGUAUUUCUCUUCAUGUGAUUUAUUCCUGGCACCAUUGGCUCUUUGUGAUUACUCAGAGCCAAAGAGUCUUAACAGAAUUCUGCUUCCUCUAGUGCUUCACUUUGUACUGAUCAGAAAUGUUGAACAUGAUCCCCUGAACAAGAAAACUUGCUGUUUCUAUGGGAGAAACAUGAAAAUGAGAACAUUGUAUCUAUAAGAUCUCCUGUGCUGGAAAAUAGGGGAACAUUAGCUGUCAAGAAAGACUGCCACAGAUCUACAGACAGAGAAAUAAAUGCAGAAGUGCUAUAUCAAGAUAAUUUUACAUUUUGGAUGGCAGUACAGAUGAACAUCGUGAGUUGAAUAAGAAACUGCUGGAUCAUCUUCUCUCAGGCUCCUUCAGCUUCAUGUGGUGCAUCUCGCUGGAAUAAAGCCUUGCAAAAAGAGCCUUUCUUGCCUCUCCCACUGAGCCAGCUGUGAUGAAAGAUGCAUCCAUAAAAGCAAAGAGAGUAGUGAUUGCACGCUGUGGCCACAGAGUGGAGAAGCACCAGCUAGCUUAUGGCCAGAGGGCACUCACAAGAGUGGCUGCCCCUGAGUCUCUGCUGAGACAUUUCCAGGUGACCGUGAUUGCUGCGAGCACUGCAGAAACAAUACACGAGGACCCCGAGGCAAAGGAAGAAGAGAAGGGUCACCUGAAUGAGUUUCCAAAGGAGUUCAUUACCCUGAAUAAACAACAGGAACAAGUGUCACAGAAAAUGGGUCUGACUAGCACUCUUACAGAGGGGGUGGUAGAAGAGGUGGAUACAACUCUCAUUCAAUCAGGGGAUCUUAUGUAAGGACUAGAUCACUUAACAUAACCAAUAGGGAUCAUUCAGGGGAGGGAAGAAACCUUAUAAACCAAUGAACCAUUGAGACAGAGCUAACAGAACAUUUGAGAACAUGAGGGGAGUGACUACAGUGACUGACAAGAAUAGAGGGCAGAACAACUGGGAUUGACAGAAGCUUAAAAGGGAAUGAGGGGAAGAACAGGGAGACUAACACACUGAUGGGCAGGCAAAUGUGGGGAAAAUAGUGUGGUAAACAACUUAGGAACAAACCAUCUGAGGGAACAAAAUAAGGACCAUGGGAAAAACUAUUAUAACUGACUGACAUAGAAAUUCUAACUUUUGUAUUAAAACAAUUGUAAAAACACCAACUGCCACAGAGAGUUUUCUCAUAUGAGUUCAUUAGAAUGAAAAUGGAAACUGAGUUGGGAAAAUAAAAUAUCUAGACUGUGAAAUAAACUAUGGGCUUUAAAAAAAUGUUUUCUCAAAAAAGAUGACUUAUGUAUUCUAUUUGAUGUAUUAAGUCUAUUGCUGGAAGCAUUUAACAAAAUAUUUUCCACUCCCAGUUACAACCCAUGUGUGAGAACACAAGAAGUGCUUUCUGUCCUCUCACAGAAGCUCUGUUCAGGCAGCAUGAAAGGGUUUCCAAUGCUCAUUGAACCUAUUUUGAAAUGGAAGAUUUUACUUAGUAAUAGGACUUUGGGUUUUGUUUUUUGUUGGUGAAGAUGUAUAACACUUAAAACACACCUAGCAAAGUAAUAACCUGGUUACAGAAAUUAAUAGACUCUACUUCAGAGUUGUGUCAGAUAUUUUUGCAUCUGACACUGUCAGAUGUUUACGAUUGGUAAAGUGUCAGAUGUUUACUAUUGGUAAAGAAAUAAAUGCUUUUUGACAACCUACAAAAGAUAUGAAGAAAAGGUGGAGGCCACAGUUGGCUUUAAAUAAUUCAAAAUCAAAUUUGUAACAACAAAACAAAACAAAACAAAAAAAAAGCAAAAAGGACAAGCUUAAGAAAUGAUCUUGCACAACAAAAUAUGUGUGUUUACAGAUAAUACAGUCACUUAAUAGGCACUUCCAGUAAAUAGAAGCAUUGUCACCUACUGAUUUUUCUUAUGAUUCUAUAACUAAGAAAACAUAAUAAUGAAUUUUUCUAUUGAUGUUUCAAAAAUGUUUCAAGGAAAUAAGAAAGUAAUUCUUUUAUCAUAAUUCGGUCUCAUAUUUGCCUUGUUUGUAAAUAAAUGUGUCUGCAAAAUAAAUACCACAAUGCAGUUUGGGUGGAGCUUUGGGUUUUCUUUGUUUGUUUUUAAUUGGGAACUUCAAAUAUGUUUUUCAUAUGAAAUAAAUAUCUGAUUUAUAAUAAUUAUUCAAUUAAUUCUACAAAAUUCAAGCUUGCAGGGCAUUGCAGUACAGAAGAGAUUAAAAUGUUCUAAAGAAUAAAAUAAUUAAAAAUUGUGUAUCUUUUACACUGUUAAAAAGUGAUAGAUAUUAGCACAAAAAUUUGUUUGUUGUUCAGGGGUUUUUUUAUGUUUCAUGAGUGCCGAGCAGAUUGUUAACCAAGAGUAAUUUUCCAGGUGAUAUUUGUGGUCUGUAAAAGAGACCAUUUUCCCCACUCAGCUUUGUGUUUUCAAAACCCAGAGUAAUCCGUUCCUUCCAAAGAAAUAUUCCUUCCAAAUGACUGAUGAAUGGAGGCAUCCAUCAGCGUGUAAGUAAUCGACAACUGAACAUUUUAACAGAAGCAAUGCAUAAAGUGGCAUUAUAGAUCAGCUGAACAAUUCAGUAGUUUGUGCCACUAGUGAUAAUUAGCUAUUACAGCUCAGUGGUGUGGUAAAUUGUUCAGCUCCAAAAGGUAUUUCACCAAUACAAUAUUUCCAGAUGCAUAUUUGUCAUGUGUCCAAAUCAUUGCCUCACUUGUACCUCUAAAAAGGAGCAAUGGCAGAAGUAAACCAGUGAAGAACCAAUAGAGUGAACUCAAAAGCUAAGGAGUCAUCUGCAUUUCAGGUGAAUUGCCACAAUAAUAAAUUUUUCUAAAUCCUAUAAUUUUUUUAUAUCUUGCUUUCAGUGCUCUUCUCAUAAAUGGGAGAAGGGUGGUUGUGCCUAUUCUUUCAGUAGAAAAAAAAAUAUUUUUCUUGAAGUGUGGCAUGCACUGAAUGAUAAACUAACUGUAUCUCUAUGUCUGUUGGAUGAAAUUUUUUAUGUAGUGUGUGAAAGAGGAAUAAUUUUGAGUAUGAGCUACUCAACUCUGUCAGUUAAAAAACUAAGUGUAGAAGUAUAUUACGACUAUUAGAGCUAACUGUACUGCCUCUACCUGACUGAGAACAAAUAUUCAGAUGGUUUUCCAUCAAGUAUGCAAACAAAUCCAUUGUCUUAUUCCCUUUUUUAACAGUAAGGAUUUAUGAGUGUAGCAGCAAUAAUAGAAAUACCUCUUUCUUACAGAAGAUUUCUGUGUUUCUGCUGUGAAAAGUAUCAUGCGGAUUUAGAGAAAUCAUUGAAACACAUCACAUUGCUAUAAUGUAUGUGAUUUUGCUGGGCGUUAAAUACCAAAACCGUGUAUGUCCAUUUCAAGAUUUGUAGAUUCUAUCAAAACCCAGUGGUUUCCACAAGAAGAAAGAGUAGGUUCAUGGUAUAAAACAGUAAUAUCUGUUCCUUGGGCCCUGUAGUGGUAGCAGAUUGUGCUUUGGAAUGACAAAAAAGAUUUUGCAAGAAGCUGAUAAUUUUUCUGAGUUAUUUCAUGAUUUAUUACUUACUGUGCAACAUAGAAAUUAUGAGGUACCUUAUCACUCCUUAUUGGAUUGCUUCGAAAGUUCAUUGUGAAAAAUAACAGCUUUCUAUAUACAGUUUUAAUACCUCUUCGGGAGGUUCUCGGACUCAUGGUUCAAGAAUCAGAGAAUGGUUUGGAAGAGACCUUUAAGUUCCAAUGUCCCCUGGAACAGACAAUGACAUCUUUCAUGACAGCAGGUUGCACAAGGCUCUAUCCAAUCUGUCCUUGAACACUUCCAUCUUCUUGGACCCAACUGUUCCAGUGUCCACACUUACUGUAAACAAAAUUCUUCUUUAUAUCUGAUCUAAAUCACCUCUUUUUCAUUUUAAAACCAUUAUGCCUAGUCCUGUUAUUACAGGGACUGGUAAAAAUCCACUCCCCAUCAUUCUUGUAAGCUCCAUUUUUAUAUUGAAAGGCCACAUAUCCUUUACAUAAUCAAAUUUUGAACUUUAACUCUCUCAUCCUUUAUACACAGGAGAGUUUUUCUAGCCCUAUGACCAUUUUCAAGGCCCUCACCUGGUGAGGUUCUCCUGUGGUCACGGAGUGGUGGAAUGCUGGCUAGCAAGUUCCUGGUGUGACCAGAGGGACACAUGAGAGUGGUUGCUUCUGGGCCUUUGCCAAGGCUACACACUGCAACAGGAAGACAACGUAGAAACCAAGGCACUGGGAAUUCAUCUGAUUGCCAUGACUUUUCAAAUACAAUGGAAUUUCCUCUUCAGAAAAAUUUUCAAAAUUUCUGAUGCUCAUUCAUGAUGUCAGUAUUGGAAAUCUAAAGGUAAUUAUGUACUGACUCUUCACAGAGAGAGAACCUACAAGUGUAACUGGAAUAUGCACUGCUCCUCCAGGUAUUUGUCCAAGCUUAAUACUACACACUAGGUAGCUGUGCAGAUGUUGUACACUGUACCCCUUUUCUUCAUCUCCCUACAAGGCAGCUGCAUACUUGAAGGAAUAGGUGGGCUGAAUAGCAAUUUUUACCAUUUUUUCAUUGAAAUAUGGGUCGACAAAGCCAACAGGACAAAAAGAGUAACUUACCCUUGAAAUAAAGAUUUUCAUGAUUCAGAAAAAUAUUUACCUUGUGUUUUGUUGAUUAAGGUUAAGCAAACAGUCCUCUGAAUCAUAUUUUUUCCUUUUUCAUCUCAUUUGGAUGAACCACUAGAAAGUGAUGAGGUAAAGAACAGAUUUGUUGUAACAGUUUAAUCUUCUGUGCAGCACCAAUUGAGGCUGAAAAAAUAAUUUUAAAGUUCAGAAAAGUAUCAGUUUCUUAGAAUUCAAAAUAUGUUGCAAAUGUUGAUUUUUCAUUUUUUAGCAUAUUAUUGUCUUUAAUAUGCCCCUUUGGAAUAGCUUAGACCUCCAGGUCAAAAGUUUUGUGGAAAUGUAUAAUUUGAGAUUAAUUUUUUCUGGAAUGUCAGUUCAAAGUUCAAUUAAACUCUUGAGGAAUGACUAAGUAUUUCAGUUCGCCCAGCUGGGCUUGCUUUUAUGUCGUGCUUUAUGUUACAAAUAAAUUUAGGUGGUAUUUGUAAGUCAUAUGAAUUUUUUAACAGGAAAGUUACUUGGAAAUCUUCUUCCAAGAAAAACAUUACUACUUAACACAAAAGUUUUUCUGAAUUUAGCAAGACGUGUCACAUUAAAUGGCAAUAAAACAAUAAAUCUCAAAAA
Long non-coding RNA from Taeniopygia guttata (zebra finch), 5390 nucleotides. RefSeq lists it as uncharacterized. The record is from RefSeq and is a predicted model, not a curated record. NCBI's taxonomy places the organism in Eukaryota, Metazoa, Chordata, Aves, Passeriformes, Estrildidae.